This 219-nucleotide long non-coding RNA is filed under the name Mytilus galloprovincialis (Mediterranean mussel). The record is from RNAcentral. Lineage: Eukaryota; Metazoa; Mollusca; Bivalvia; Mytilida; Mytilidae.
UGCUGCCGCUGCCGAUGCCGACGGAAACAGGAUACCUUUGUCUCCCUUUUUGACUCUGUCAAGUGAGACAACAAAAGUGGGGUAAUAAAUAUAAAGGUAUCCAUACUAUGAUUAAGAAGUUAAACAGUUAAAAUAAGAAACUGUGCCUUCUAAAAAACAGUCUAAAAUUCAAAAACUUAAAAGUUAGAAUCCUUCAUUUUUCAACAUUCUUAAAACAUA